RNAcentral lists this long non-coding RNA (307 nucleotides) under Brachypodium distachyon (stiff brome). Its description in RNAcentral is "long non-coding RNA (BDIS_LNC000520)". The record is from RNAcentral. Lineage: Eukaryota; Viridiplantae; Streptophyta; Magnoliopsida; Poales; Poaceae.
UAAUCCUUGAAUGCAGAAAAAUUCAAGUGAGUUGAGCCUAGGAUAAUACGAAAACAGUACAAAACUAGAUUCAUGUAAUUCACUUCCCUAAUGUAAAAAAAGGUACCUCAAAGGUUCAAGGCUGCUAAACUUCUAGAGCUUACAAAAAAAACUAUGCCAACAAUAGCAACCUUAAUUGCCCUAUGUGAGAAAGGUUGUCAAUUGUUAUUGAUCCAUAGAAUAAGGUUUCUUCAUAUGGCAUCAGUUUUAACUUGAAAGUAAUACCAAUUAUAUGUAACCGAAGGACUUAAUGAUUUUAUGCCCCCUA